This 358-nucleotide ribosomal RNA is filed under the name uncultured bacterium. Its description in RNAcentral is "partial 16S ribosomal RNA". It matches the Rfam family "Bacterial small subunit ribosomal RNA", at positions 338 to 693 of the family's 1533-position model. The record is from RNAcentral.
CCUACGGGAGGCAGCAGUGAGGAAUAUUGGUCAAUGGGCGCGAGCCUGAACCAGCCAAGUCGCGUGAGGGAAGACGGUCCUAUGGAUUGUAAACCUCUUUUGUCGGGGAGCAAAAGACGCCACGCGUGGCGUUCCGAGAGUACCCGAAGAAAAAGCAUCGGCUAACUCCGUGCCAGCAGCCGCGGUAAUACGGAGGAUUCAAGCGUUAUCCGGAUUUAUUGGGUUUAAAGGGUGCGUAGGCGGUCGGGUAAGUUAGAGGUGAAAUCCCGAGGCUCAACCUCGGAAUUGCGUGUGAUACGGAUCGGCUAGAGAGUAGUGGAGGGAGGCGGAAGGGAUGGGGUGGCGGUGAAAGGAUUAG